This 659-nucleotide ribosomal RNA is filed under the name Johanssonia arctica. Its description in RNAcentral is "partial 28S large subunit ribosomal RNA". It matches the Rfam family "Eukaryotic large subunit ribosomal RNA", at positions 366 to 812 of the family's 3401-position model. Lineage: Eukaryota; Metazoa; Annelida; Clitellata; Hirudinida; Piscicolidae. The record is from RNAcentral.
GAAAAGAACUUUGAAGAGAGAGUUCAAUAGUACGUGAAACCGUUCAGAGGUAAACGGACAGGGCCGCAAAGUCUGUUGCACGAAUUCAACCGACAUGUAGUCGGCUUCGUAUUGGAGGGCGCUUCGUUCUGCGGAGACUUCCGGUACGCGGCUAAACGACUGCGGUUGGUGCACUUUCGUGUGAUGGAGCGCCGCGACCGGUUGAUCGGCGGUAAGAAACUCCGGUGUUAGGUGACAUAUUCUCGUAAGAGUUUGUGAGUUAUAAACCCGGUAGCUAAUUGCCCGUUGAAAGAUCGAGGAGGACCGAGCUCAGGUGUUUUCGCCUUCGUGACUUUGACCUCAUGUUCGACUGGGAAUCACUGCUCAAGCAGUGUUUUUCGACCGCGCUUGGUUAUUCGUUUGGAGUGUCGAUGAACGCUUUUUCGAGGGGUCUGCGGCGAUUCGGUCGGUAGCCUGUCUGACCCGUCUUGAAACACGGACCAAGGAGUCUAACACGUGCGCGAGUCUCAGGGUCGUACGAAACCCGUUGGACGCAAUGAAAGUGAAAACAAGCUUUGGUUUGUUUAGGUGGGAUCCCGAAGCCGGAGACGGUGACGGGCGCACCACCGGCCCGUUUCAUCCGCUACGUCGGUGGGGCGGAGCAAGAGUGUACGCGUUGG